This is a long non-coding RNA of Rattus norvegicus (Norway rat), 706 nucleotides long. RefSeq lists it as uncharacterized. The record is from RefSeq and is a predicted model, not a curated record. NCBI's taxonomy places the organism in Eukaryota, Metazoa, Chordata, Mammalia, Rodentia, Muridae.
GUUUGCGUGCGUUUGCGUGCUCGUGCGUGCAUGUGCGUGCGCGUGCAUGUGCGUGCGUAGCACUUAGAGACUAGAAUCAACCGCAGGGGUCGGUUGUCUCCUUCUAUGGUGUGGAUCCUGGGGACGGAACUCGGGUCAUGAAACCUGAUAAUCUAGCAAGUUUACCCACUGCACCAUCUCGCCAACCCAGAACUUUUAAAGUAUAAACUAAUCUUAGCGAUCACUAGGGCUUGCAUGGGUAGGCAGGUAGGAUAUGAGCCAGCAGGUACAUCAUGGAUGUGCUUCUAGUUGAAGAUUUAAGGACCAUUUGUUCUCUCCCAGUAUCCUGCCUCCAGCUUUGGAUCCGACAGGCAGCAAAUAAAGCCUCAUGUGAAAGGCGUGGGGGGUGUUGUUUGGGCCAACACCAUUUUGGACCAACCUAAAACCAACCACUUCCUUAAGCACUUGGAAAAGCGAUCGGACAAAGCCACUCCAUAGACACAGAGCUACUCGGUCAACGCAGAGUAAGGUCAACUCUUGAGAUUGACUAGGCUCCCAUAGCCUCCUCAGAGAUACUCGGCUGACUCACAGAGCCGCCAUUACGAGAUGCAUAGCAAGCCACUGAGCUGGAAGGAGAAGAAGAGUUAUCAACUGAUGUAUUUGGAUAUUGCAUAAGUCAAAAUACUGAGCGCGUCUUAAUAAAGUUAUCUGAGCGAUGGCACACUUA